This is a long non-coding RNA of Physeter macrocephalus (sperm whale), 1118 nucleotides long. RefSeq lists it as uncharacterized. The transcript is spliced from 3 exons. Lineage: Eukaryota; Metazoa; Chordata; Mammalia; Artiodactyla; Physeteridae. The record is from RefSeq and is a predicted model, not a curated record.
GGCUCUGCCGAGCUCCCAGCCAGGCCCGAGCCCGGAGGUGUGACAAGGCCUGGCUAGGGGCUGCGGAGGAGGCUGCGGGGCGCCGAGGCCGGGCACUGGGGAGCCAGCGAGUGGCUCUGAGCAGGAGACUCCCCACGGUCUCCCGCUGCACCGCUUCAGAGCCAGCAGUUGGUGGAUAAACGGAGGCAAGAACGUAUGAAUGAAUCAUUUCUGUGCCUGAGCCAUGGAGAAUUUGGAGGUAAUCUAACUUGGAGCCCAUUUCUCAGUUGUACCAUGGAGAUGAUACCUGUCAUCACGGGGUUGUUGUGAGGGUAGAAUAAGAUUCAACAAAUACCUAGCUGGCAUCUCCAACCCGUGGGCCUUGCAAGGCUGAUGUACAUCACCGCUGGGGAGCGGGCACCGGGUACCAAGGAAGAGGGAGGAGGCGCUGAUUUCCUCCCUCGGCCCGGGCUCAGGCAGGCCACGUCACCCCUGACACAGCUCCGGAACUGCCCAGCCAAGAGAAGGGUCGAGAACCUAAGCACCAGGUUUUUGGACAGAACCUGACCUAGGUAGGCUCUUCUCGUCCUUGCCCACUCCUAAGGGUCUAGUGGUCUCUGCUGGCCAAAUACUAGACGGAGAGCAGGCUGGAGGCUGAGCCCUCCCUUGGCUGAAGAGGUGUGUCCUGUUCUCACCACCUGUCAGCAGAGGGAGAGGGGCCGUUCCCAACCUCAUGGAACCUGCUUCCAGCGUGGAACGGGCCCUGUGGGAGUGGGCACCCUGGUGUCCUGUGCCGAGGGGAGAGGCGGUAAGGGGGGGGCCUGUGACACUGUGCCCACCCAGGGCUCGGGUGAGGAUGACCAGUCGUUUCGUGAAGUUAACAGGGGCUGGGUCACUCCAACUCUCCCUAUCCCAAAAGGGGCCCCAGAAACAAAAAAAGCAGGGAGCAAGCAGAAGGUUAUUAUAUAUCAUGCUUUUAAUACAAACUUAAAAAAAUCUGGAACAAUAUAAACUGUACAGAUUUGAUCAAUCUUUUUGUUUUGUUUUUAAACUAAAUCUCUAAACACACCUAUGUUCCAUUCCAAAGUAUUACACAACAUUCUGAAUACAAAACGCUUGAUUGUAUUCCUCCUUCACUA